This 500-nucleotide ribosomal RNA is filed under the name Microbacterium foliorum. RNAcentral describes it as "bacterial SSU rRNA". It matches the Rfam family "Bacterial small subunit ribosomal RNA", at positions 143 to 656 of the family's 1533-position model. The record is from RNAcentral. Lineage: Bacteria; Bacillati; Actinomycetota; Actinomycetes; Micrococcales; Microbacteriaceae.
AUAAGCGCUGGAAACGGCGUCUAAUACUGGAUACGAGUAGCGGCCGCAUGGUCAGUUACUGGAAAGAUUUAUUGGUUGGGGAUGGGCUCGCGGCCUAUCAGCUUGUUGGUGAGGUAAUGGCUCACCAAGGCGUCGACGGGUAGCCGGCCUGAGAGGGUGACCGGCCACACUGGGACUGAGACACGGCCCAGACUCCUACGGGAGGCAGCAGUGGGGAAUAUUGCACAAUGGGCGGAAGCCUGAUGCAGCAACGCCGCGUGAGGGAUGACGGCCUUCGGGUUGUAAACCUCUUUUAGCAGGGAAGAAGCGAAAGUGACGGUACCUGCAGAAAAAGCACCGGCUAACUACGUGCCAGCAGCCGCGGUAAUACGUAGGGUGCAAGCGUUAUCCGGAAUUAUUGGGCGUAAAGAGCUCGUAGGCGGUUUGUCGCGUCUGCUGUGAAAUCCGGAGGCUCAACCUCCGGCCUGCAGUGGGUACGGGCAGACUAGAGUGCGGUAGGG